CUCAUCUUCUUUUAAACCUUUCUUCUUCUUUAUCUUGUUUAGCCCACACAAACAUCAUGAUAUUUCCUUUCAUUUUACGUCUAAUAGUGAUAAGAAGAUGGGUGAUUGCAACAUUAAUAACAUAAUUUAAUUGCUAUUAAAUAUUUAUAAAAUCUUUCUCUAAUAUUUUUAAAAUCCAACUCAAGACCUCACAGAUAUAAAAAUGAUUUGAAUGUCUCUAAUUAAAAUUUAUUGGUAUUAUUAAGCUAUUUGAUUUCAAAGAGUGAAUAUAUGGGUAAGAAUAUGGGGACUGAAUUAAUCAGCAGAAAAAUAGUACUAACAAACAAGUGCAUGAAUUCCAAAUUCCAAUCCUCGACAGAAGAUGGAGCAGGCUCCUCGUCAAGCAGAGUUAUGCUUGAGCUCACUCGUUACAGAGUUGACUCAGUUAACCCGAGUCAAAUCGGCCGAAUCAUUGCCCAAGGAAAAAAUUUAUAAGCAAUCUCUCGAGAACAACACUGAUAGGCCUUGUCUUUGGUUUUUAACCAUCAAACCCUGUUUGGCUCCACACUGCAUCGCGCACGCGCCUCAUGUCACGGCCCUUCAGAGUCCUUCCAACUCCCUCGAAGACAGAGGCGCCACCCAUUUUCCUACUGUGAGCGUACUCACGCGCCAGGUACUCGUGUGGGGGGACCAUCUCCGAAUCACGGUCAUCGUAGCCCCCAUCCGAGUCAUGCAAUGACUCAACCGAGUCGACCCUGAGGAUCUGGCUCCAGUCCGGCACGUUCACAGGAGCUGACGUGGCCAUGUGACGAGGAGAUGAUGCUUCUGGUGCCACGCUGUCAUGUCCACGGAACUGGUGCACGAUUCUCGACGAAGCCGUCUUGCCCGAAGAAUCUUCGAAGGCCAAAGAUAACCCUCCCACGUGGUGGUCACCUCGGUCUCGGGGGAUUCGGCGGCGGCUCCUUGUAGACAUAUUCCCAUUACUCUCAACAUCGGCGCGUGAAAUCCAGUCUUCCUGAGAAUUAUUGUUAAUCUGGUCAUUCCGGUGAGCCUCAUCAUCAACCAUCGACCACACAUCUUCCUCGCCUAGCUCCGACAAGUCGUUGACGUUGGUUUCUUGGCCAUUACUGUAAGCAAAGCUUCCCAACAGCCUUUCACUACGACUCGUCGUUAGCCUCCUUCCUUUGGCCAUAAAGCGGCCAAAUUGAUCUGAUAACUCAAAACCCACUUGAAAAUUUUGGCAAAAAGAAAAUGAAUGAGAAGAAGAUAUAGUUAUGAGUCCAUUAGGUUGGCUCUAACAUAGGGUGGCUUUGAAGGAGAAGACAUGUAUAUAUAGCAUUGGCCACUUCACUGAAGAAGAAGAGAAAAGGCUCAGUUUCAUUUCAUGUGAAUUUGGGGCUCAUUUUGUCUGCAUUUCCUCUUCUAUCAAAUAAUGGUUUUUAUGAAUAGUGAAGCCAAGAUGGGCACCAAACUGUUUAAAGAAAACGAAUGACUAGAGCACGUAUUAGAUGGCCUUCACGUGCUCAUGGAUGCGCGUGUUCACCACUUACCAAUCGGUUAAGGAUGAGUGUGCCUAUUUGUCGAGAGGAGCAGUGUCAGGAGGAGAGGAGUGAGCUUGGAAGAAAGUGACUUGCCCAUUUUGGACGAUUGGGC
This 1632-nucleotide unclassified non-coding RNA is filed under the name Hevea brasiliensis (rubber tree). The record is from RNAcentral. Lineage: Eukaryota; Viridiplantae; Streptophyta; Magnoliopsida; Malpighiales; Euphorbiaceae.